RNAcentral lists this ribosomal RNA (660 nucleotides) under Solibacillus silvestris. RNAcentral describes it as "bacterial SSU rRNA". It matches the Rfam family "Bacterial small subunit ribosomal RNA", at positions 60 to 737 of the family's 1533-position model. The record is from RNAcentral. Lineage: Bacteria; Bacillati; Bacillota; Bacilli; Caryophanales; Caryophanaceae.
AGUCGAGCGGAAUUUUAUUGGUGCUUGCCCUUUAAAAUUUUAGCGGCGGACGGGUGAGUAACACGUGGGUAACCUACCUUAUAGAUUGGGAUAACUCCGGGAAACCGGGGCUAAUACCGAAUAAUACUUUUUAACACAUGUUUUGAAGUUGAAAGACGGUUUUGCUUUCCCUAUAAAAUGGACCCGCGGCGCCUUAACUAAUUGGUGAGGGAACGGCUCACCAAGGGAACGAUGCCUAACCGACCUGGAAAGGUGAUCCGCCACACCGGGAAUGAAACCCGGCCCAAAAUCCUACGGGAGGGAACAGUAGGGAAUCCUCCACAAUGGACCAAAAUCUGAUGGAACAACGCCCCGUGAGUGAAGAAAGAUUUCGGUUCCUAAACUCUGUUGCAAGAGAAGAACCAGUAACGUAAUUACUGGCGCUACCCUGACGGUACCUUGAUAGAAAGCCACGCUAACUACGUGCCAGCAGCGCGGUAUACGUAGUGGCAGCGUUGUCCGAAUUAUGGGCGUAAACGCGCGCAGGUGUUCCUAAGUCUGAUGUGAAAGCCCCCGCUCACCGGAAGGUCAUGGAAACUGGGAACUGAUGCAGAGAGAAUGGAAUCCAGUGUAGCGUGAAUGCGUAGAGAUUGGACGACCAUGCAGCACUGCUGUCUACUG